CUGCUCUCCGCCAGAGGACUACAAGUGAAAAACUUCAAACUCAAAGGACUUGGCGGUGUCCCAUAUCGACCUAGAGGAGCCUGUCCUAUAAUCGAUACCCCCCGCUCUACCUAACCUCAACUAGCACCCCACAGCCUAUAUACCGCCGUCGACAGUCUACCCCAUGAGGGCCCAACAGUAGACACAAUAGCCCAACCGCUAGCACGUCAGGUCAAGGUGUAGCACAUGUUGAGGAAGAGAUUGGCUACAUUUUUUACAUUAAAAAACACGAAAUGCAACAUGAAACCCUGCAUGAAGGUGAAUUUAGUAGUAAGAUCUAAUGAGAGUAUUUAUCUUAACAACGCUCUGGGACGCGCACACACCGCCCGUCA
RNAcentral lists this ribosomal RNA (371 nucleotides) under Eremias velox velox. Its description in RNAcentral is "partial 12S ribosomal RNA". It matches the Rfam family "Bacterial small subunit ribosomal RNA", at positions 862 to 1399 of the family's 1533-position model. The record is from RNAcentral. Lineage: Eukaryota; Metazoa; Chordata; Lepidosauria; Squamata; Lacertidae.